RNAcentral lists this ribosomal RNA (180 nucleotides) under Leucoagaricus vassiljevae. RNAcentral describes it as "partial 28S ribosomal RNA". The stretch from base 36 to 180 matches the Rfam family "Eukaryotic large subunit ribosomal RNA", at positions 1 to 143 of the family's 3401-position model. Lineage: Eukaryota; Fungi; Basidiomycota; Agaricomycetes; Agaricales; Agaricaceae. The record is from RNAcentral.
UAACUGUCUUCUCUGUGGGACAACUUCUGAACCUUUGACCUCAAAUCAGGUAGGACUACCCGCUGAACUUAAGCAUAUCAAUAAGCGGAGGAAAAGAAACUAACAAGGAUUCCCCUAGUAACUGCGAGUGAAGCGNNNAAAGCUCAAAUUUAAAAUCUGGCAGUCUCUGGCUGUCCGAGU